GGCGGUUCUCAAGUGACACACCCCACUAUCGGGCUCCUUCCUCUCUGGUUCCGGGUGCAUCACCCAAGAACUGCA
Myotis brandtii (Brandt's bat) is the source of this 75-nucleotide non-coding RNA. NCBI's taxonomy places the organism in Eukaryota, Metazoa, Chordata, Mammalia, Chiroptera, Vespertilionidae. The record is from Rfam.